CCUACGGGAGGCUGCAGUGGGGAAUAUUGCUCAAUGGGCGAAAGCCUGAAGCAGCGACGCCGCGUGGAGGAAGGAGCGCUUCGGCGCGUAAACUCCUGUCAGCAGGGAAGAAAAUGACGGUACCUGAAGAAGAAGCACCGGCUAACUACGUGCCAGCAGCCGCGGUAUUACGUAGGGGGCAAGCGUUAUCCGGAUUUACUGGGUGUAAAGGGGGCGCAGACGGCGAUGCAAGCCAGGAGUGAAAGCCCGGGGCCGAACGCCGGGACUGCUCUUGAAACUGCGUGGCUGGAGUGCAGGAGGGGUAGGAGGAAUGCCUGGUGUAGCGGUGAAAUGCGUAGAUAUCAGGAGGAACACCGGUUGCGAAGGCGGCCUGCUGGACUGCAACUGACGUUGAGGCACGAAAGCGUGGGGAGCAAACAGGAUUAGAUACCCGGGUAGUC
RNAcentral lists this ribosomal RNA (440 nucleotides) under uncultured bacterium. RNAcentral describes it as "partial 16S ribosomal RNA". It matches the Rfam family "Bacterial small subunit ribosomal RNA", at positions 338 to 795 of the family's 1533-position model. The record is from RNAcentral.